RNAcentral lists this transfer RNA (73 nucleotides) under Caldisericia bacterium. Its description in RNAcentral is "tRNA-Trp". It matches the Rfam family "tRNA". From Rfam's summary of the family: Transfer RNA (tRNA) molecules are approximately 80 nucleotides in length. The record is from RNAcentral. Lineage: Bacteria; Pseudomonadati; Caldisericota; Caldisericia.
AGGCCCGUAGUUCAAUUGGUAGAGCAUCGGUCUCCAAAACCGAGUGUUGGGGGUUCAAGUCCCUCCGGGCCUG